RNAcentral lists this ribosomal RNA (253 nucleotides) under uncultured bacterium. RNAcentral describes it as "partial 16S ribosomal RNA". It matches the Rfam family "Bacterial small subunit ribosomal RNA", at positions 524 to 776 of the family's 1533-position model. The record is from RNAcentral.
UACGGAGGAUGCAAGCGUUAUCCGGAAUGAUUGGGCGUAAAGCGUCCGCAGGUGGCAGUUCAAGUCUGCUGUCAAAGACCGGGGCUUAACUUCGGAAAGGCAGUGGAAACUGAACAGCUAGAGUAUGGUAGGGGCAGAGGGAAUUCCUGGUGUAGCGGUGAAAUGCGUAGAGAUCAGGAAGAACAUCGGUGGCGAAGGCGCUCUGCUGGACCAUAACUGACACUCAGGGACGAAAGCUAGGGGGGCGAAUGGG